UGAGAUACCAAUUUAUAUUUGGUUGUCAUGUCUCCUGAGGCUCCUCUUGGUGGUGACAGUUUCUCAGACCUUCCUCGAUUUUUGAAGACCUUGACGGUUUUGAGGAGUACUGCAAAAUUGCAAAUUACUGCUUGGAAGAGACCUUCAGGAAAGUACAUUAAAUAUUAAAUCUGUCAGUGAUGAUGUAGACCUACCCGUUCUCAUGAAACACAACCAGUCAUCUGAGGGACCUGAGACUUGAAGCCCCAGAGACAAUAAAUAUACAAAUGGACAAUGACCAGACUAUAUAUGACAACAGAACUCUGACCUACAACCUCUGCAGCAACUCAUCGUGGAAGCCAAACCAGCCUGAAACAGUCCUGGUGUAUGACUGCCAGCUUCCUUGUUUUUGGUCCCUGCUUUCAACUCAGAACCAAAAAGAACAAGCCAAAUAUGCUCCCUAAAUCAAUCACAAAAGAUGCCCUCUUCAGCUUAGGCUGACUCCAGCUUCCCCAUACCAAUAGCCUCCAGUCAGGGCACACAUGAAGCCUUCCCUUUGUUUGUAC
Long non-coding RNA from Prionailurus viverrinus (fishing cat), 545 nucleotides. RefSeq lists it as uncharacterized. The transcript has 3 exons. NCBI's taxonomy places the organism in Eukaryota, Metazoa, Chordata, Mammalia, Carnivora, Felidae. The record is from RefSeq and is a predicted model, not a curated record.